This 717-nucleotide ribosomal RNA is filed under the name Verticiella sediminum. RNAcentral describes it as "bacterial SSU rRNA". It matches the Rfam family "Bacterial small subunit ribosomal RNA", at positions 95 to 811 of the family's 1533-position model. Lineage: Bacteria; Pseudomonadati; Pseudomonadota; Betaproteobacteria; Burkholderiales; Alcaligenaceae. The record is from RNAcentral.
GUGGCGAACGGGUGAGUAAUGCAUCUCAACGUGCCCAGUACCGGGGGAUAACUACGCGAAAGCGUAUCUAAUACCGCAUACGCCCUACGGGGGAAAGGGGGGGAUCGCAAGACCUCUCACUAUUGGAGCGGCCGAUGUCGGAUUAGCUAGUUGGUGGGGUAAAGGCUCACCAAGGCGACGAUCCGUAGCUGGUUUGAGAGGACGACCAGCCACACUGGGACUGAGACACGGCCCAGACUCCUACGGGAGGCAGCCGUGGGGAAUUUUGGACAAUGGGGGAAACCCUGAUCCAGCCAUUCCGCGUGUGCGAUGAAGGCCUUCGGGUUGUAAAGCACUUUUGGCAGGAAAGAAAUCGGUCGGAUUAAUACUCUGACCGGAUGACGGUACCUGCAGAAUAAGCACCGGCUAACUACGUGCCAGCAGCCGCGGUAAUACGUAGGGUGCAAGCGUUAAUCGGAAUUACUGGGCGUAAAGCGUGCGCAGGCGGUUCGGAAAGAAAGAUGUGAAAUCCCAGAGCUCAACUUUGGAACUGCAUUUUUAACUACCGGGCUAGAGUGUGUCAGAGGGAGGUGGAAUUCCGCGUGUAGCAGUGAAAUGCCUAAAUAUGCGGAGGAACACCGAUGGCGAAGGCAGCCUCCUGGGAUAACACUGACGCUCAGGCACGAAAGCGUGGGAGCAAACGGAUUAGAUACCCUGGUAGUCCACGCCCUAACGAUG